AAGGGUAUAGCUCAAGUGGUAGAGCGCAUGCUUAGCAUGCACGAGGUCCUGGGUUCAAUCCCCAGUACCUCCU
Molecule: transfer RNA, 73 nt
Filed under: Camelus bactrianus (Bactrian camel)
Lineage: Eukaryota; Metazoa; Chordata; Mammalia; Artiodactyla; Camelidae
Also listed under: 3 other names
Rfam family: tRNA
About the family: Transfer RNA (tRNA) molecules are approximately 80 nucleotides in length. Their secondary structure includes four short double-helical elements and three loops (D, anti-codon, and T loops).
Source: Rfam by way of RNAcentral